AGAGUUUGAUCAUGGCUCAGAUUGAACGCUGGCGGCGUGCCUAACACAUGCAAGUCGAACGCGUGUAGCAAUACACGAGUGGCGCACGGGUGAGUAACACGUGGAUAUCUGCCUUUUGGUUCGGAAUAACCCUGGGAAACUAGGGCUAAUACCGGAUGGUUCCUACGGGAUAAAGAUUUAUCGCCAAAAGAUGAGUCCGCGUCCGAUUAGCUAGUUGGUGAGGUAAUGGCUCACCAAGGCAACGAUCGGUAGCUGGUCUGAGAGGACGAUCAGCCACACUGGGACUGAGACACGGCCCAGACUCCUACGGGAGGCAGCAGUGGGGAAUAUUGGACAAUGGGGGCAACCCUGAUCCAGCCAUGCCGCGUGAGUGAUGAAGGCCUUCGGGUUGUAAAGCUCUUUUGGCGGGGACGAUGAUGACGGUACCCGCAGAAUAAGCCCCGGCUAACUUCGUGCCAGCAGCCGCGGUAAGACGAAGGGGGCUAGCGUUGUUCGGAAUUACUGGGCGUAAAGCGCGUGUAGGCGGUUGUCCAAGUUGGAUGUGAAAGCCUUGAGCUUAACUCAAGAAAUGCAUUCAGGACUGGAUGACUAGAGGACCGGAGAGGAUAGUGGAAUUCCCAGUGUAGUGGUGAAAUACGUAGAGAUUGGGAAGAACACCAGUGGCGAAGGCGGCUAUCUGGACGGUUUCUGACGCUAAGACGCGAAAGCGUGGGGAGCAAACAGGAUUAGAUACCCUAGUAGUCC
Molecule: ribosomal RNA, 744 nt
Filed under: uncultured bacterium
Lineage: Bacteria
Description: bacterial SSU rRNA
Rfam family: Bacterial small subunit ribosomal RNA
Source: RNAcentral